AUUGGUGGGAAUCUUCGAGCCUUCAUCCUUCAACUUCAGACCUUGAAAGAGGACAUGCGCUACUGCCAGGGAUCUCUAUUUUUUUGCAGAUGUGAUGAGGUUGUCAGAAGAGAGAUGAGAGAGAGGAAGAUGGAAGGGAGGAAGAGAAGGAAGAGAGGGAGGGAAGAAGAAGAUUAGUAGAUAGAGAAGGGGAGGAGGAAGAGAACACACAAAGAAGG
Molecule: long non-coding RNA, 218 nt
Filed under: Elaeis guineensis (African oil palm)
Lineage: Eukaryota; Viridiplantae; Streptophyta; Magnoliopsida; Arecales; Arecaceae
Description: long non-coding RNA (EGUI_LNC010768)
Source: RNAcentral